RNAcentral lists this ribosomal RNA (510 nucleotides) under uncultured bacterium. RNAcentral's name for it is "bacterial SSU rRNA". It matches the Rfam family "Bacterial small subunit ribosomal RNA", at positions 28 to 524 of the family's 1533-position model. The record is from RNAcentral.
GACGAACGCUGGCGGCGCGCUUAACACAUGCAAGUCGAGCGAGAACCGGGACUUCGGUCCCGGGGACAGCGGCGAACGGGUGAGUAACACGUGGGUAAUCUGCCCUCGAUUCUGGGAUAGCCCGGGGAAACCCGGAUUAAUACCGGAUUUAGCCUUUCGAGCCUUCGGGCGCGAAAGAAAAGGUAGCUUCGGCCUCCGAUCGAGGAUGAGCCCGCGGUGGAUUAGCUUGUUGGCGGGGUAAUGGCCCACCAAGGCGACGAUCCAUAGCUGGUCUGAGAGGACGAUCAGCCACACUGGGACUGAGACACGGCCCAGACUCCUACGGGAGGCAGCAGUGGGGAAUCUUGCGCAAUGGGCGAAAGCCUGACGCAGCGACGCCGCGUGGGGAAGAAGGCCUUAGGGUUGUAAACCUCUUUCAGGUGGGACGAAGCCACUCGGGUGAAUAGCCCCAGAGGGUGACGGUACCGCCAGAAGAAGCCCGGCUAACUACGUGCCAGCCGCCGCCGUAAG